RNAcentral lists this transfer RNA (72 nucleotides) under Cordylochernes scorpioides. RNAcentral describes it as "tRNA-Asp". The record is from RNAcentral. Lineage: Eukaryota; Metazoa; Arthropoda; Arachnida; Pseudoscorpiones; Chernetidae.
CUCCCCGGCUGAGAAUCGAACCCCGUUCGUCCGUGUGACAGGCGGGAAUACUAACCACUAUACUACCGAGGU